Populus euphratica (Euphrates poplar) is the source of this 925-nucleotide long non-coding RNA. RefSeq lists it as uncharacterized. The transcript has 2 exons. NCBI's taxonomy places the organism in Eukaryota, Viridiplantae, Streptophyta, Magnoliopsida, Malpighiales, Salicaceae. The record is from RefSeq and is a predicted model, not a curated record.
CAUGGUAAAUCGGGGACCUAACUGAAAACCGUGAUAAUUUAGAAAUUAUAUUUACAAUCACAAAUAGCGAGUUUAUUGUUGACCCCAGCAGGAGCAUUUGCCGUUUCUCUUUUGCUGGGUUUUGGAUUAAAUUCCCGCAACUUCUUCUUUUCUUCUUCUUUUUUGUUUAUUUUCUUAAAACUACGGGGUUGGUUUCAAUUUGAGGUGUGUGUUUCUGUUGACAUGUGUUUAUUUCUUGAACUGGCAAUGAAUUCGUUAGCAUUUCUAGCUCAUUUGUGACGAAUAUGGCAACCAAUAAAGUUUAGUUGCUAAAGCUGAAACUUGAUUUCAAUGUAGAUAGCAGCAUUCAUCUUUCUUUUGUUCAGGAUAAGCUCAAAUCAACUAGUUUACAACGACCCGAUGAAACCAUGUUUCUCUCUCUGUUUUUUUUUUCCUUCAUCUAGUUCUGUUGUGGACCGAAUUCAUUGUAAAAUGUGCACCGUUUCUUAUUCAAGAUGUUGCAGCAACUAUACUUUUAGAAUGUUGCUCCCAAGAGGUAUAUUUGUGUGAUUUUUGAUAAAUCUAUGGCAAUAUAGUGGCAGUGACUGAGCCAUGCAGCAUCGUCAAUCACCAUAACUGAUGCCUGAUGGGAUCAGUUAUGGUUUGGAAAUGACAUCAUGCUUUAGAUAUGUUCUUCUGCAAAACACAGAUCAUCAACACAUAGCCAGCAAACAACCCUGAAUCAAAUUCCUUUUUUAUUUGCUUCAAUUUAGUGGAAAUCAUGAUCAUGUAGGCCUUCUUCAACAUGUUAAUUUCCUUUUCUUGCCCUUUUUAGCUUCCCUGACAGGAUGUCUUCUAACAAUUUGAAAAUAAGCAGGCAUAAAAUGAAACAUCAAUAUGGUUAGGAUGAGACUCGCUGAUCAUCCUAUCAGAAGCUACAACUUGG